AAACAUUUAGGAGUUGACAGAUGUACUAAAAUGACCUCCCAUGAAAGUAAUCAUUUGGAGAAACAUUUCAAAAUUUCUUUCUAGUGUAAUUGGACUUGAAACAAUGAAAACAAAGGAUUCCUCAGUAACAACCCAGGACACAUAUGUGAGAUAAUGCCAUACGGAGUGACACAAACAUUUUCAAUGGAGUGACAUAAAUAAUUUCAUGGACAAGUUAUUAUCGUCUCUGGAUAAACCAAUGAGGCACUCUGAAAUGAGAAGUUUUAGCAGUCUACCUUUCAGUUUGCUGCAAUUCAUUGAAGAGCCCAAGGCUAGAUUUACAUCUUUCUGGAUAAAUUCAGAGGCAUCUAGAGCUAUAGGACAGACAGGUCCAGUGGAAGAUGAAUGCAGAGGCUACGAGCAAGAGCAAGAAGGGAGACUAUUUUCAAAUGUGGUCAAACAAAUUCCCUGAGUGGAAUUCAGGUAGCUUCCUUAGUAGAAGAUGAUUUCCUGAUCUUCAUUCAGAGAAGCCUUAUUUCUAGCAGGAGUCUCAGGUGAGGCUUUCAUUUUACAAUUUACUUUUAUCUCCUCACUUAGACGCAGAUCAUAUGAUAGGAUUUUUUCCAGUCUUUUUAUCACUGAUAUGAGAAAAGAGCUCUAAUGCUGCUUAGAAUUUCAUUACUCUCUAGAAUAUAUGUAAAGAAAAUAAUGGCCUUAGCAAAACUAAAUAGCUUUUCCCCCCAUUUUAAUUCUAGUUUUGUUAGUGAAAAAAUGCGUAGGUUGAUGCUUGGAAUUUUGUCUUUGGGUAUACAUUGCAGUUUGGGUAUACAUUGCAGUUUGCUUUUCCUGCAUCUCUAAAAUUGCUGUAACUACUAUAGUGGUUCUUAGUCCCUUCAGGCCUUUGAGCUAAAAAUGAUAAAGUCAAUAAAACAUGGUCUGCCAAAAAUGGACA
RNAcentral lists this long non-coding RNA (931 nucleotides) under Vulpes vulpes (red fox). Its description in RNAcentral is "lncRNA (ENSVVUG00000009223.1)". Lineage: Eukaryota; Metazoa; Chordata; Mammalia; Carnivora; Canidae. The record is from RNAcentral.